Homo sapiens (human) is the source of this 271-nucleotide long non-coding RNA. RefSeq lists it as uncharacterized. Lineage: Eukaryota; Metazoa; Chordata; Mammalia; Primates; Hominidae. The record is from RefSeq and is a predicted model, not a curated record. The transcript is spliced from 3 exons.
CUCAAACUAUUCAUACCCACUGACAUUACUGUGUUACUCCCGGGACUGCAAGAGCCAGCCUGGCCUGUGUGAUGGAGAUCAUUUGUGUACUCAUUCUCACUAUAUGUGACUCAGGCUGAAGUCAAUCAAUGUAUCGCAUUUCUCCUGGCCCCGGUGAUUGCUUUGUGGAUGGCACCACGGUCUCAAUCAGAGCCAACAGGAUGAUUCUCCUCCUUCAAUGAAUCAGGGCUGAGAGCUGCUCUGAACUACCAAUAGAGUUACCAAUGGGUAG